AUUGAAUGCUGGCGGCAUGCUUAACACAUGCAAGUCGAACGCGAACGGGCUUCGGCCCAAGUAGAGUGGCGGACGGGUGAGUAAUGCGUGGGAAUCUACCCUCGAGCGGGGGGACAACCCGGGGAAACCCGGGCUAAUACCGCAUACGUCCUACGGGAGAAAGCGGGCCUCUACACUAUGCUCGCACUCGAGGAUGAGCCCACGUCCGAUUAGCUAGUUGGUAGGGUAACGGCCUACCAAGGCCACGAUCGGUAGCUGGUCUGAGAGGAUGAUCAGCCACACUGGGACUGAGACACGGCCCAGACUCCUACGGGAGGCAGCAGUGGGGAAUAUUGGACAAUGGGCGCAAGCCUGAUCCAGCAAUGCCGCGUGUGUGAAGAAGGCCUGCGGGUUGUAAACUGCUUUUGCCAGGGGAUAAAAAGUCCCUGCGGGGAAAAUUGAAGGUACCUGGUGAAUAAGCCACGGCUAACUACGUGCCAGCAGCCGCGGUAAU
RNAcentral lists this ribosomal RNA (493 nucleotides) under uncultured bacterium. Its description in RNAcentral is "partial 16S ribosomal RNA". It matches the Rfam family "Bacterial small subunit ribosomal RNA", at positions 30 to 524 of the family's 1533-position model. The record is from RNAcentral.